This 256-nucleotide ribosomal RNA is filed under the name uncultured bacterium. Its description in RNAcentral is "partial 16S ribosomal RNA". It matches the Rfam family "Bacterial small subunit ribosomal RNA", at positions 524 to 776 of the family's 1533-position model. The record is from RNAcentral.
UACAGAGACCUCAAGCGUUAUCCGGAAUCAUUGGGCGUAAAGCGUGCCUAUAGGUGGUUUUGAAAGUCUUGGGUAAAAGCCAGAAGCUUAACUUCUGAGUUUGCUUAAGAUACUGCAAAACUAGAGGGGCAAAGAGGUGCUUGGAACGAACGGUGUAGUAGUGAAAUGCGUUGAUAUCGUUCGGAACACCAGCGGCGAAGGCGGCAUCCUGGACUGGUCCUGACACUCAGGAGCGAAAGCGUGGGGAGCGAUCCGG